UCAAAUAAAAAUCGGUGUUGUUUACUAUACCCUUAGUGGUGGUAACGCAUCGGAGUUGAGUCAUCUUUACCUUUCUUGGUUUUAAGUGACUUAAAAAUUUUGUACGAUUUUUGAACGUAUUUAAACUUUUACGUACGUUCUUAAUAUCAUAUAUCUAUUAGAUGUGGUCAUCCUUAUGAGUUCGCAUCCAUAAUUUUUUCAUU
This 203-nucleotide unclassified non-coding RNA is filed under the name uncultured Glomeraceae. RNAcentral's name for it is "sequence contains ITS2". Lineage: Eukaryota; Fungi; Glomeromycota; Glomeromycetes; Glomerales; Glomeraceae. The record is from RNAcentral.